CCUACUGGAGGCAGCAGUGAGGACUAUUGGUCAAUGGCCGGAAGGCUGAACCAGCCAAGCCGCGUGAAGGACGAAGGUGCCAAGCAUUGUAAACUUCUUUUGUCAAGGGACAAAAUCAGGCUCGAGCGCCUGACCGAGGGUACUUGAAGAAAAAGCAUCGGCUAACCCCGUGCCAGCAGCCGCGGUACUACGGAGGAUGCGAGCGUUACCCGGAUUUAUGGGGUUUAAAGGGUGCGUAGGCGGGCUGUUAAGUCAGCGGUAAAACCCCGGGGCUAAACCCCGGCGAGCCGUUGAAACUGGCGGUCUUGAGAUGGCGAGAGGUAGGCGGAAUGCGCAGUGUAGCGGUGAAAUGCUUAGAUAUUGCGCAGAACUCCGAUUGCGAAGGCAGCAUACCGGCGGCGAUCUGACGCUGAGGCACGAAAGCGUGGGUAUCGAACAGGAUUAGAUACCCCUGUAGUC
RNAcentral lists this ribosomal RNA (459 nucleotides) under uncultured bacterium. RNAcentral's name for it is "partial 16S ribosomal RNA". It matches the Rfam family "Bacterial small subunit ribosomal RNA", at positions 338 to 795 of the family's 1533-position model. The record is from RNAcentral.